RNAcentral lists this ribosomal RNA (460 nucleotides) under uncultured bacterium. RNAcentral describes it as "partial 16S ribosomal RNA". It matches the Rfam family "Bacterial small subunit ribosomal RNA", at positions 338 to 795 of the family's 1533-position model. The record is from RNAcentral.
CCUACGGGGGGCUGCAGUGAGGAAUAUUGGUCAAUGGACGAGAGUCUGAACCAGCCAAGUAGCGUGAAGGAUGACUGCCCUAUGGGUUGUAAACUUCGUUUAUAUGGGAAUAAAACGUUCCACGUGUGGGAUUUUGUAUGUACCAUAUGAAUAAGGAUCGGCUAAAUCCGUGCCAGCAGCCGCGGUAAUAAGGAGGAUCCGAGCGUUAUCCGGAUUUAUUGGGUUUAAAGGGAGCGUAGGUGGAUUGUUAAGUUAGUUGUGAAAGUGUGCGGCUCAACCGUAAAAUUGCAGUUGAAACUGGCAGUCUUGAGUACAGUAGAGGUGGGCGGAAUUCGUGGUGUAGCGGUGAAAUGCUUAGAUAUAACGAAGAACUCCGAUUGCGAAGGCAGUUCACUGGACUGCAACUGACACUGAGGCUCGAAAGUGUGGGUAUCAAACAGGAUUAGAUACCCCUGUAGUC